This 261-nucleotide ribosomal RNA is filed under the name uncultured archaeon. RNAcentral describes it as "partial 16S ribosomal RNA". It matches the Rfam family "Archaeal small subunit ribosomal RNA", at positions 749 to 1008 of the family's 1478-position model. The record is from RNAcentral.
AGCCGUAAACUAUGCUCGCUAGGUGUCAGGCAUGGCGCGACCGUGUCUGGUGCCGCAGGGAAGCCGUGAAGCGAGCCACCUGGGAAGUACGGCCGCAAGGCUGAAACUUAAAGGAAUUGGCGGGGGGAGCACAACAACGGGUGGAGCCUGCGGUUUAAUUGGACUCAACGCCGGACAACUCACCGGGGACGACAGCAAUAUGUAGGCCAGGCUGAAGACCUUGCCUGAAUCGCUGAGAGGAGGUGCAUGGCGUGUGACUGU